GAGUGGGGAGGAGAGAGGGACAGAGAGCCUGCUCCUUUAAAGAAGCGGGGGAGGAGAGGAGCCGCUUAAACCAGUGUAAGCGGCUCCUGUCCGGUUGGUUCCUUUAAAGCAAGCAGGCUCUCUGUCCCUCUCUCCCCCCCCACUC
RNAcentral lists this microRNA precursor (145 nucleotides) under Podarcis lilfordi (Lilford's wall lizard). The record is from RNAcentral. Lineage: Eukaryota; Metazoa; Chordata; Lepidosauria; Squamata; Lacertidae.